Molecule: ribosomal RNA, 497 nt
Filed under: uncultured bacterium
Lineage: Bacteria
Description: partial 16S ribosomal RNA
Rfam family: Bacterial small subunit ribosomal RNA
Source: RNAcentral
GAUGAACGCUGGCGGCGUGCCUAACACAUGCAAGUCGAGCGAACAGACGAGGAGCUUGCUCGUCUGACGUGAGCGGCGGACGGGUGAGUAACACGUGGAUACCUGACCUAUAGGGCUGGGAUAACUAAGGGAAAGCGGAGCUAACACCGGAUAAUAUGGUGAACGGCAGGGUUCAUUGGUGAAAACCGGUUUUGAUGUGCCUAAUUGGGGUUACCGGGCCGGAUUAGCUAGUUGGUAGGGUAACGGCUUACCAAGGCGACGAUGCGUAGCCGACCUGAGAGGGUGAUCGGCCACACUGGAACUGAGACACGGUCCAGACUCCUACGGGAGGCAGCAGUAGGGAAUCUUCGGCAAAGGGCGAAAGCCUGACGGAGCCACGCCGCGUGUGUGAUGAAGGUCUUCGGAUCGUAAAGCUCUGUUAUUAGGGAGGAACAGAUGUGUAAGUAACUAUGGCCGUCUUGACGGUACCUAAUCAGAAAGCAACGGCUAACUACGUG